RNAcentral lists this ribosomal RNA (471 nucleotides) under uncultured bacterium. RNAcentral describes it as "partial 16S ribosomal RNA". It matches the Rfam family "Bacterial small subunit ribosomal RNA", at positions 28 to 507 of the family's 1533-position model. The record is from RNAcentral.
GACGAACGCUGGCGGCGUGCUUAACACAUGCAAGUCGAACGGAAAGGCCCUGCUUGCAGGGUGCUCGAGUGGCGAACGGGUGAGUAACACGUGGGUGAUCUGCCCCUUACUUUGGGAUAAGCCUGGGAAACUGGGUCUAAUACUGGAUAGGACCAUGCUGUAGGUGGUGUGGUGGAAAGAUUUUUUCGGUAAGGGAUGAGCUCGCGGCCUAUCAGCUUGUUGGUGGGGUAAUGGCCUACCAAGGCGUCGACGGGUAGCCGGCCUGAGAGGGUGGACGGCCACAUUGGGACUGAGAUACGGCCCAGACUCCUACGGGAGGCAGCAGUGGGGAAUAUUGCACAAUGGGCGCAAGCCUGAUGCAGCGACGCUGCGUGGGGGAUGACGGCCUUCGGGUUGUAAACUCCUUUCAGCCAUGACGAAGCCUCUUUUGGGGUGACGGUAGUGGUAGAAGAAGCACCGGCUAACUACGUG